Molecule: ribosomal RNA, 468 nt
Filed under: uncultured bacterium
Lineage: Bacteria
Description: partial 16S ribosomal RNA
Rfam family: Bacterial small subunit ribosomal RNA
Source: RNAcentral
GACGAACGCUGGCGGCGUGCUUAACACAUGCAAGUCGAACGGAAAGGCCCUGCUUUUGUGGCGUGCUCGAGUGGCGAACGGGUGAGUAACACGUGAGUAACCUGCCCUUGACUUUGGGAUAACUUCAGGAAACUGGGGCUAAUACCGGAUAGGAGCUCCUGCUGCCUGGUGGGGGUUGGAAAGUUUCGGCGGUUGGGGAUGGACUCGCGGCUUAUCAGCUUGUUGGUGGGGUAGUGGCUUACCAAGGCUUUGACGGGAAGCCGGCCUGGGAGGGGGACCGGCCACAAUGGGACGGCGAUACGGCCCAGACUCCUACGGGAGGCAGCAGUGGGGAAUAAUGCACAAUGGGCGGAAGCCGGAUGCAGCAACGCCGCGGGCGGGAUGACGGCCUUCGGGUUGUAAACCGCUUCCGCCUGUGACGAAGCGUGAGUGACGGUAAUUGGUAAAGAAGCACCGGCUAACUACGUG